GAUCCUGGCUCAGGACGAACGCUGGCGGCGUGCCUAACACAUGCAAGUCGAGCGGAGCCAUCCGAACAAACCCUUCGGGGGGCGAUCGGGGAAGCUUAGCGGCGGACGGGUGAGUAACGCGUGAGUAACCUGCCCAUUAGUGGGGAAUAACACAGAGAAAUUUGUGCUAAUACUGCAUACGAAGUAAAAAAGCGCAUGCUAAUUACUUGAAAGAUUUAUCGCUAAUGGAUGGACUCGCGUCUGAUUAG
This 248-nucleotide ribosomal RNA is filed under the name uncultured bacterium. RNAcentral's name for it is "partial 16S ribosomal RNA". It matches the Rfam family "Bacterial small subunit ribosomal RNA", at positions 15 to 244 of the family's 1533-position model. The record is from RNAcentral.